CUUACUCUUCAGCUAAAGUUUUCCACAGACCAAAGGCAGGCACAGGACAAGAGGAGCAAGGACCGUAGGGUCCUGCUCUGUUUCUUCAUCAUACUUUGGGAGGUAGCAAGAGUUCUUUAUGGGUGCCUCUCACUGAGUCAUCUAGAAUGUUAAAAAGCUGUGUACUCAUGAUUGAGCAUAAUCAUAUUUUAAUAUUUUUGACUUCACAAUCAAGGGCAUUCUUACAGGAACAUGGCCUUUUCCAUUUUCAUUGCAAGUGAAAACUACAGUGACGGCUGGUCUGGUUUGCUGCCCCUGCCUUGAUUAGUUCUGAGGCAGUGGUAGCUUUACCAACUGUUGCUCUGUAUCACCAGUGUGGAUAACAUGGUGAAAGACAAACUACAAGUUAGUGUUACUAGAAAAUAGUUUUGACCUUGAGGACCCACUGAAUCCUUUCAAGGACUCCCAAGAUCUCUGUAUCAGACUUUGAGAACUACCUCUCGUGUGAGUAUAUUCUCUGAAUGACACAUCGUUCUUAGUAACCCAGAAGCAUAGUCUUAACAGAAGCUGUUGGGAGAUUUAAGGAUUGGGAAAUUCAAGAUCUCAGCUGGCCUUCCAUCUCAUAUCGGAUAAACUACCAGACCAAGAGCCCAGAGUCUUUAAAGCUCCCCAGAUACUCAGGUUCUAGGAUGAAAGUCUGAAUGAAGGUAGGAUGAGGAUGGCAGAAGAAACACAUGGGGAGUGGUGGCCAAUUCUACCUGGUGGGAGCAAGAAAGGUUAUACUUAUGCUGAGUCCUGAAAAUCGAGCCUGUUUGCCAGGCCACCAAAAUCAGGUUGUUUCAUCAUGUGCUUGGAUUAUUCUGGUUGAUAAUAUUCUGGAUUCUUUUAAUAGUCUCCACUUUUGAAACACACAGCAGGAUCUUUGCAUACAGCCCCAUUCCCUGGCUAUCGCAGCCAGUCAGAGAUCAUGCCCCACCCUGGAAGUGCUGCUGUGCGGCCUGCAUAAGCAUCUACCACUGGCAAUAGUAACAGUGACAGGCAGCGGUCAUAGCUGCUACCCUGUCUCUAGGCAACCUCCUCAUCUGGCCCAUCAGCCUAUUGAGUUUGGGAUUGUGGAGUACAAC
This 1103-nucleotide long non-coding RNA is filed under the name Bos grunniens (domestic yak). Its description in RNAcentral is "lncRNA (ENSBGRG00000021174.1)". Lineage: Eukaryota; Metazoa; Chordata; Mammalia; Artiodactyla; Bovidae. The record is from RNAcentral.